AGGACUACAAGCCCUGGGAUGCAGGUUUUGCUGCUGCUGCCUCUGCUGGAGUGGGCAUUGGUGGCCUUCAAGGCUGAUGUCACCUGUUCUCCUUGACUGUGCAACUGAAAUCAUCCGCGACCAACCGCCACCUUGCGCCAGGUUCUGGAAGAGUGUUUCCUGGGCUUGGACUUCUUCAUUCUGGCAACAACCUGUUGAGUGUGGUUGUACUUUCUGGAGAAGGAAAUGGCAACUACUCGAGUACUCUUGCCUGGGAAAUCUCAUGGACAGGGGAGCCUGGCAGGCUACAGUCCACGGAGUCACAAACAGUAGGACACGACUGAGUGACAGAGCAUGCACAGUGUGGCUGUGGAAAUGGAAAUAAUGGAACUGAAGUAACUGUGCCAAUCUUAAGUGCCACCCUGUCACUUCCUUUGUGUGGCUUCAUGGUUGACUUCCAGCUCUCUUCCUCUUCUUGCACCCUGUGCCCCGCAGACCCCCACAUACUGACCUCUCUGGCCUGGGUCACACUGAUGUCCACAUCUCUGCUCUCAGCAGCCCCAUGGCAGAGCUGUUCUUUACAGCCACCUCUCAUUCUGAAAUGCAUUGCUGAUUCUGUGUGUGUUUUUACAACCAGUUUCAUACUCCUUAAAGACAGAUUUUUUUUUCUCUUUGUUUAUCCGACGGAGUCUGGAGCAGCGUCUUGCGUCUGUUUCAUGUAAUUGCUUGAUUCCCAUGACUUUGUCUGUGCUGUUCCUCCAACCCCAGUUUCUCCUCCUUCCCGACCACCUCUCUGUAGCCCACUUAUCUUUCUGAGUCUCACUCAAGGCCUGAAUUCUUCAUAAAGCGUUUCCACGACAGCACCCCUGGGACUUCUUUCUCCGCUGAACUUCAGUUGCACUUCCUGAAUAGUUUAGCACCUGGUUGCACAGCUAGAGCCUUUCUAGAAGUGAAAGAAGAGAAUGUGCUUAGGUAAAAGCAUGGUCCACCUUGUAAAGUGAUUAAAAACAUUUUGGAUUGGUGUAGGUUGAGCCCAUUUUAUGAUUAGGAAUGACCGAUGGAAGAUGAUUAAGAAAUGCAACAUAAAAAAGAGCUAAGUGACCCUCAUGCAGAAUAAAAUAGUAGUUUUUGUUGCUGUAGAGAGUAAAGCAGCUCAGGAUUUAAAUUAAAAAUGUAGGCACCCCGAGCUCCCAAUCCAGCCUUAAAAAAACUGACUACAACAACAUUCUCCAUAAUCCCCGAGCGGUAACCUAACUCUGCUCCAGGAACUAGGAGCUGGCCUGACACCUCCUUUCCUGCCUAAUUGCUAUGAUUAAUUUUUGCACUUGUAACACAAUCCUUGACUCUGCACUAUAACAGGGACUCAAAGGUCUCAAAGCUGUUCAAUUUCUGAAUAACUAAAGGAAUUCACGAGUGACCGGCAGGAGCGGGAAUAGCCUUUCCGAAGAGUGACGGGCUGUUUGGGUUGAGAUGUUUCUGGAUUCCUGUUGGUAUAGGUAUGGUGUGUGAAUUCUUUCUGUGGUACGAGGGAAAUAUCUAAUGACAGCCAAUUGCUUAUUUUGGAUCGUUUGGAACCUGGUUUUAACAUUAGGGGGAAAAAACACACCAGCUUGGCUCAGUAAAGAGCCAGACAAGGCAUUUCAUUGCGUCUGGUCUUGGUUGGGAGAGCCGUGGGCCCGUGGCCUGAGGAGCAGUGAUGGGGAAACUGCACAGAGUGGGUUCUCCCGGGCUGACGUGUGCCUGGGGACCAGAAACUAUGAAACACUGGUGGGAAUGCUUCAGGGAGGGGCUGCAGAUGGGGGUGCAGUUGAACAGCUAGUGCCUGAUACAAUUGUAGAUGGCAGUUCGGGGACACUUGGAUAUUGUUAAGUAGCAAGGCAGGGCAUUUGGGUUAAUGGCCAAUGCGGAGACAUAGAUAUACAUAUAUGCUUCCCCCGACAUAAAUACUCUUUGAAAGAAUCAAUCCUCCCCUCUCUCCCAUCCUCUCCAGCUCUCUGCCCUUGCUGUCAAUCCGUUUGAUUGACACACAUACCAGAAACCCAGAGAAAUUUCUAAGUACCUGCUAAUGGAUUUUAGAAUGAGGGGGGAAAAAUAAGGACAAAAUAAUGGCCCUAUGUCUAGGAGAACUAUGCCAUGGCUCUAAGUCAGAGUUGUGCCCAUGAACAUUGAGGGCUAAAGCCUGCAGCUGAAAGGUGAAGGUAGCCUUCCUGGGUGCAGGUGGUUAGUGGAAAGGGGUUGACAGGUCUUCUUUGGUGCCUCCUGGCCUCUGUGAACCAGUAGCCUUGGGAUCCUUAUGGUUUUUUAGGCUCUGUCGCUUGGUCCUAACAUGGCAGCCACAUGAAACAGAGACCUGGGUGUGGAGAAAUCUUCCUUUGGGGAUCCAACUAUUUCAGGAGGUGACACUUUCUGCUGUGAUUAUGCUAGGCUGCACUCUGCAAGGAAGCCAGGAUUAAAGGCAAGGUAUCUGCCUUUAAGGGGCUUCCCAGGAGGCUCAGUGGUAAAAAAUCCACUUGCCAAUGCAAGAGAUGUGGGUUCAAUCCCUGGAUCAGGAAGACUCCUUGGAGGAGGAAAUGGCA
Bubalus bubalis (water buffalo) is the source of this 2555-nucleotide long non-coding RNA. RefSeq lists it as uncharacterized. The transcript has 3 exons. NCBI's taxonomy places the organism in Eukaryota, Metazoa, Chordata, Mammalia, Artiodactyla, Bovidae. The record is from RefSeq and is a predicted model, not a curated record.